This 562-nucleotide long non-coding RNA is filed under the name Phascolarctos cinereus (koala). Its description in RNAcentral is "lncRNA (ENSPCIG00000021423.2)". Lineage: Eukaryota; Metazoa; Chordata; Mammalia; Diprotodontia; Phascolarctidae. The record is from RNAcentral.
GGGCGGAGAAAGGGGGGGCGGAGAAGAGGGGGCGGAGAACAGGAGAGAGAGGAGGGAAUCGAGGAGGAGGGAAGGGAAGGCAGCGGAGCUCAGCGGAUCCGAGAGGAGCUCAGCAACUCGGAGCUGAACUGAGCGCGCCGAGCGCUCCCCAGGCGCCGCUCUACCUGAGCUCCCCCGCCCCCUCUAGUGCCCCGCCCCCCACUGCGGCUCUACCUGCAUUCCCCCUCCGGGUAUCUGUUCCCAGCACCACCCCCCCUCAGCCAGGCACGCGCUGCUGCCGCUGCGGGACUGGCCGGGCACCUGGCACCUGGCGACCGCUGCGGGCACACCUCUCCACCUAGCUAGGCACUGGCAAGCGGGAGCCGCUCAGCCCGAGCAAGAGCUGGCGCGCAGACUGACAGACAGACAGACAGGCGGGUGGCCAGAAGGAGGGGACGCGAGAGAAGCAGGGUGCCGCCAACAAGGAAGAGCCCGCGGCCAACUUUGCCUCCGAGCGCCCAGGCUGAGCCUGUGCCCCCCAACAUGGCCUCCGCAGCCGCCGAAGCCCCGGGAGCCCAGCUGA